This 253-nucleotide ribosomal RNA is filed under the name uncultured bacterium. Its description in RNAcentral is "partial 16S ribosomal RNA". It matches the Rfam family "Bacterial small subunit ribosomal RNA", at positions 524 to 776 of the family's 1533-position model. The record is from RNAcentral.
UACGGAGGGUGCGAGCGUUGUCCGGAAUCACUGGGCGUAAAGAGCUCGUAGGCGGUCUGUUGCGUCGGCUGUGAAAACCCGGGGCUCAACUCCGGGCCUGCAGCCGAUACGGGCAGACUAGAGUUCGGCAGGGGAGACUGGAAUUCCUGGUGUAGCGGUGAAAUGCGCAGAUAUCAGGAGGAACACCGGUGGCGAAGGCGGGUCUCUGGGCCGAUACUGACGCUGAGGAGCGAAAGCGUGGGGAGCAAACAGG